AAACGAGUUCCAGGAUCGACAGGUUGCGAAACACAACCAGAUGGGCCAAAGAUGGUAUCUGGAAAAAGGUCAGAUCAAGUUAUUGAAAAAGAGAAUCUUGAGGUUCGGUAUGCGUUUCUCCAC
Drosophila yakuba is the source of this 123-nucleotide long non-coding RNA. RefSeq lists it as uncharacterized. The transcript is spliced from 2 exons. The record is from RefSeq and is a predicted model, not a curated record. NCBI's taxonomy places the organism in Eukaryota, Metazoa, Arthropoda, Insecta, Diptera, Drosophilidae.